This 1800-nucleotide long non-coding RNA is filed under the name Monodelphis domestica (gray short-tailed opossum). RNAcentral describes it as "lncRNA (ENSMODG00000036889.1)". Lineage: Eukaryota; Metazoa; Chordata; Mammalia; Didelphimorphia; Didelphidae. The record is from RNAcentral.
CUAUGAUCCAGACAUAGCACUCCUGGGUUUGUACCCCAAAGAGAUAAUGGGGAAAAAGACUUGUACAAAAAUAUUCAUAGUCGUGCUCUUUGUGGUGGCCAAAAAUUGGAAAAUGAGGGGAUGCCCAUCAAUUGGGGAAUGGCUGAACAAAUUGUGGUAUAUGUUGGUGAUGGAAUACUAUUGUGCUCAAAGGAAUAAUAAAGUGGAAGAAUUCCAUGGGGACUGGAACAAUCUCCAGGAAUUGAUGCAGAGUGACAAGAACAGAACCAGGAAAACAAUGUACACAGAGACUGAUACACUGUGGUACAAUCGAAGGUAAUGGACUUCUCCAUUAGUGGCAAUACAGUGAUCCUGAACACCUAGGAGGAAUUUAUGAGAAAAACCACUAUCCACACCCAGAGGGAACAGUGUGGGAGUAAAAAUACCAAAGAAAAACAACUGCUUGAAUCCAUGGGUCAUAGGGAUAUGGUUGGGGAUGUAGACUCUAAAUGAACAUCCUAGUGUAAACAACAUGAAAAAUGGGUUCUGAUCAAGGACACAUGUAAUAACCAAUGAAAAUGUGUGUUGGUUGUGGGAGGAGUGGGAGGAGGGGAGAGAGGGAAAUAAUGUGAUUAUUAUAACCAAGGAAUAAUGUUCUAAAUUGACUAAACUCCUUCAAAUGAAAAAAUAAGGAAACUGAGUCUGAAAGAGUUUAAUAAGCAAGAGAAGCAAAGGCAUAGGUGAGAGAAUAGCAAUAAACCAGGGAUGAGGGGAGCCCUGGUGACAAAGAGGACACUGGAUUCUCUCUGUGGUCAAGGAGAGAUGGCAGUGAGAGGGGUAAAUUCACUCAGUUACCCAACUUCCUCUUAGGAGAGUACAGUGUCAAGGGUGACAAGCCUCACCUGGCUGAGAGUGAGGUUUGUUUGGGCCCCAUUGUCAUAGCAACAAGGGAAUGUUUGGUAACAGAGCCAGUGACUUCACAGAAGCUGGUCUUAAUUCCACAUUUCUGAAGCUCAGGGAAGAGCAGAGCCAGCCAGGAGAGAAUGUGGAGGCAGAGGAAGACAAUAGUUCCCUUGGAAGAGCUGUGACUAGGAGAAAAGUACUGUCCUGGAGCCGCUGUGAGCAGUCUUCACCACACCAUUCUCUUGGGCACACAUGGAUGUUUGCUUCAUUCAUUUACCUCCACCUUAAACACAUCCAUUCUCUUACAUUUGCCAUCUCCUCAUUUUUCUUUUGUGAGUAGAAAGCAUCAAUAAUAUAUGCAGGGGCAAGUUAUGCUGUAGGAUGAAACCUGCUUAAUGAUGGCUUCACCACUACCGUAUUUAUCUUCAUUUAUAUUCAUAUUUAUAGGUUAUCUCAUGUGAGAGGCUUAUUUCAGUGUUAGUAAUUUAGCCUUAACAUUUAAAUUCAAUCUUAAACCUCCUACUUCAUUUCCUAAAUUCAGAAUUACAUUUGGCUACAUUAUGCCCAUUUUGACAGUAUUUUGCCGUGUGGAGCGGUGUAAGCCAAGAAGCCAGAUUCAUCAGAACAACUGUUGCAUGUUCUAAAAUCCAGUAAAAUCGGUUUUAGAAUGGGUGGAAAUGUAAUGCUGCCGUUUGGACACAGGAUGGCAGACUAAAAUUGCAGUAUCUGAGAUGGCCACAAGAGGGCAAAAACCCUAAUUUUUUUUUUUUUUUGAAUUGCAGUAUCCUGGAGGGACACCAGAUGGAACCAGAAGACCAUGUUAUUUAAGUCAAUCAGUCAAAAACUGAAACCUUAAUUUAUAAUGAAAAAGUUUUUUAAAAAAAUAAACAAUCUAAAUGACUACUUUCCUGAGCCUGU